RNAcentral lists this ribosomal RNA (449 nucleotides) under uncultured bacterium. RNAcentral's name for it is "bacterial SSU rRNA". It matches the Rfam family "Bacterial small subunit ribosomal RNA", at positions 355 to 796 of the family's 1533-position model. The record is from RNAcentral.
UGGGGAAUAUUGGACAAUGGGCGCAAGCCUGAUCCAGCAAUGCCGCGUGUGUGAAGAAGGCCUUCGGGUUGUAAAGCACUUUUAUCAGGAGCGAAAUACUAUCGGCUAAUACCCGGUGGGGCUGACGGUACCUGAGGAAUAAGCACCGGCUAACUUCGUGCCAGCAGCCGCGGUAAUACGAAGGGUGCAAGCGUUAAUCGGAAUUACUGGGCGUAAAGCGUGCGUAGGCGGUUUUUUAAGUCUGCUGUGAAAUCCCCGGGCUCAACCUGGGAAUGGCAGUGGAUACUGGAAAGCUAGAGUGUGAGAGAGGAUGGUGGAAUUCCCGGUGUAGCGGUGAAAUGCGUAGAGAUCGGGAGGAACAUCAGUGGCGAAGGCGGCCAUCUGGCUCAACACUGACGCUGAGGCACGAAAGCGUGGGGAGCAAACAGGAUUAGAUACCCCCGUAGUCC